CCCGCUGAACUUAAGCAUAUCACGUAUGCAGCGAGCGACAAGACACUAACACGGAUUCCGCUAGUAAACUGCGAGUGAAGCGGGAAAAGCUCAAAUUUAAAAUCUGAGGGUCUUACGGCCUUGCGAGUUGUAAUCUAGAGAAGCGCUAUCCGCGCUGGACCGUGUACAAGUCUCCUGGAACGGAGCGUCAUAGAGGGUGAGAAUCCCGUCUUUGACACGGACUACCAGGGCUUUUGUGAUGCGCUCUCAAAGAGUCGAGUUGUUUGGGAAUGCAGCUCUAAAUGGGUGGUAAAUUCCAUCUAAAGCUAAAUAUUGGCGAGAGACCGAUAGCGAACAAGUACCGUGAGGGAAAGAUGAAAAGAACUUUGGAAAGAGAGUUAAACAGUACGUGAAAUUGUUGAAAGGGAAACGCUUGAAGUCAGUCGCGUUGGCCAGGAAUCAACCUUGCUUUUGCUUGGCGUACUUUCUGGUUAACGGGUCAGCAUCAAUUUUGAUCGGUGGAUAAAGAUCAGGGGAAUGUGGCAUCUUCGGAUGCGUUAUAGCCUCUGGUCGCAUACAUCGGUUGGGAUUGAGGAACUCAGCACGCCGCAAGGCCGGGUUUUUACCACGUACGUGCUUAGGAUGCUGGCAUAAUGGCUUUAAUCGACCCGUCUUGAAACACGG
RNAcentral lists this ribosomal RNA (663 nucleotides) under uncultured fungus. RNAcentral's name for it is "eukaryotic LSU rRNA". It matches the Rfam family "Eukaryotic large subunit ribosomal RNA", at positions 24 to 664 of the family's 3401-position model. Lineage: Eukaryota; Fungi. The record is from RNAcentral.